CGCUACCGUCGGCGGCUAGAAGUGCUCGGCUGCUGGCACCCGGGAGAGGAAGGUCCAGGGCGGGCCGGAGACGUAGGGGUCCGCGUCCCUGCGCCCAGGCCUGGCAGCUCCCCGCACUGUGGGCGCCCCGCACCCCAAGCCCCUGCCAGGGCCUUCCUUGGGCUCCCGCAUCCGAGGCUCUGAGACCGGAGUACGACGGAGCUCCUGCGCCUUCCGGGGCUGGGGGCCGGGCCCGCCCGUGCCGCUCCUGGCGGGGCCCUCCAUUGGCAGACGGGAUCUUGCUCUGUUGCCCAGGCUGGUUUUGAACUCCUGGGCUCAAGUGAUCCCCCUCCUCAGCCUCUCACACUGCUGGGCUUACAAGUGUAAGCCAUCUCAUCCAGACACGCACACCGCAGAGCGUGGCCAUGGAACAGUAACCGGGCUUGUGAGAGGGCUCUACAGUAUCAACUAGGAGACAAGAUCCACGGAUUCACUGUCAACCAGCAUAGGAACUAAAAAUGACAACACUUCACAUAUUUGGCCAGCUGUUGGCUCUGUGCUAUGGUUGAUGUUACAGCAAAUUUAAAAGACAAAACUUACUGUCUAGAAAGACUGAUGUGGCUGUGACUGGAGGCACAUGGUGGACGCCAUGCGGAGGGCCAAGGACAAGGGUGGGAGCUGCUGCUGCUGCUGGGGGGAGAGGGAAGAGCUCCUGGAGAGGGUGUUGUGAGAAAGCAGCUGCCUCUGGGCAGGGCUCCAGCAAGGGAGCCAGGGCAGUGACUAGGGGGUCCCAGGCAAGGUCCAGGCAUGGGAGUCCUGACAACAGACUCAGAGCAUUUGUGAAAUCCUGCGAAGGCUGGGCAAAGACACCUGGGUUUAUAGUACUGGUUACUAUUACUAAAGGCCUCACCCAGAGUGGUAGAUUCUUCUCCUUUAUUUUUCAAAUUUUAUAGAAAUGUACUUUUUUGAGAUUGGGACUCACCCUGUCGCCCAGACAGGAGUGUAGUGGCAUGACCUUGGCUCACUGCAGCCUCAAACUCCUGGGCUCAA
Long non-coding RNA from Piliocolobus tephrosceles (Ugandan red Colobus), 1029 nucleotides. RefSeq lists it as uncharacterized. The record is from RefSeq and is a predicted model, not a curated record. Lineage: Eukaryota; Metazoa; Chordata; Mammalia; Primates; Cercopithecidae. The transcript has 4 exons.